RNAcentral lists this ribosomal RNA (1130 nucleotides) under Mangatangi sp. MCZ IZ 129533. RNAcentral describes it as "SSU rRNA". It matches the Rfam family "Eukaryotic small subunit ribosomal RNA", at positions 653 to 1804 of the family's 1831-position model. The record is from RNAcentral. Lineage: Eukaryota; Metazoa; Arthropoda; Arachnida; Opiliones; Neopilionidae.
GACAGGCGGUCCGCUCCGGUGGUUACUGCCUGGCCUGAACAUCCUGACGGUUUUCCUUCUGUGCUCUUGACUGAGUGUCGUAGGUGCCCGUCACGUUUACUUUGAAAAAAUUGGAGUGCUCAAAGCAGGCGUUCCGCCUGAAUAAUGGUGCAUGGAAUAAUGAAAGAGGACUUCGAGUUCUAUUGUGUUGGUUUUCGGAACACGAGGUAAUGAUUAAAAGGGACAGACGGGGGCAUUCGUAUUGCGACGCUAGAGGUGAAAUUCUUGGACCGUCGCAAGACGAACUACAGCGAAAGCAUUUGCCAAGAAUGUUUUCAUUAAUCAAGAACGAAAGUUAGAGGUUCGAAGGCGAUCAGAUACCGCCCUAGUUCUAACCAUAAACGAUGCCAACCAGCGAUCCGCCUGAGUUACUCAAUUGACUCGGCGGGCAGCUUCCGGGAAACCAAAGUUUGUGGGUUCCGGGGGAAGUAUGGUUGCAAAGCUGAAACUUAAAGGAAUUGACGGAAGGGCACCACCAGGAGUGGAGCCUGCGGCUUAAUUUGACUCAACACGGGAAAACUUACCCGGCCCGGACACCGGAAGGAUUGACAGAUUAAGAGCUCUUUCUUGAUUCGGUGGGUGGUGGUGCAUGGCCGUUCUUAGUUGGUGGAGCGAUUUGUCUGGUUAAUUCCGAUAACGAACGAGACUCUAGCCUACUAAAUAGGCGACCGAUCACUUGUGUCGGUCUUCCUUCUUAGAGGGACAAGCGGCGUUUAGCCGCACGAGACAGAGCAAUAACAGGUCUGUGAUGCCCUUAGAUGUCCGGGGCCGCACGCGCGCUACACUGAAGGAAUCAGCGUGUGUUUACCCCUGUCCGGCAGGACUGGGUAACCCGAUGAACCUCCUUCGUGAUAGGGAUAGGAGCUUGUAAUUGUUCUCCUUGAACGAGGAAUUCCCAGUAAGCGCGAGUCAUAAGCUCGUGUUGAUUACGUCCCUGCCCUUUGUACACACCGCCCGUCGCUACUACCGAUUGAAUGAUUUAGUGAGGUCUUCGGACUGGUGCUCGGAGCGGCUCUCGGGUCGCACCGCCGUACCGGAAAGAUGACCAAACUUGAUCAUUUAGAGGAAGUAAAAGUCGUAACAAGGUUUCC